UACGGAGGGAGCUAGCGUUGUUCGGAAUUACUGGGCGUAAAGCGCACGUAGGCGGCUUUGUAAGUUAGAGGUGAAAGCCCGGGGCUCAACUCCGGAACUGCCUUUAAGACUGCAUCGCUUGAAUCCGGGAGAGGUGAGUGGAACUCCGAGUGUAGAGGUGAAAUUCGUAGAUAUUCGGAAGAACACCAGUGGCGAAGGCGGCUCACUGGCCCGGUACUGACGCUGAUGUGCGAAAGCGUGGGGAGCAAACAGG
This 253-nucleotide ribosomal RNA is filed under the name uncultured bacterium. RNAcentral's name for it is "partial 16S ribosomal RNA". It matches the Rfam family "Bacterial small subunit ribosomal RNA", at positions 524 to 776 of the family's 1533-position model. The record is from RNAcentral.